AUACGGAGGGUGCGAGCGUUAAUCGGAAUUACAGGGCGUAAAGCGUACGUAGGCGGUUGGUUAAGUUAGAUGUGAAAGCCCCGGGCUUAACCUGGGAACUGCAUUUAAAACUGGCGAACUAGAGUUGAGUAGAGGGGAGUGGAAUUUCAGGUGUAGCGGUGAAAUGCGUAGAGAUCUGAAGGAACACCAGUGGCGAAGGCGACUCCCUGGACUCGAACUGACGCUGAGGUACGAAAGCGUGGGUAGCAAACGGGAUUAGAAACCCUAGUAGUCC
Molecule: ribosomal RNA, 274 nt
Filed under: uncultured bacterium
Lineage: Bacteria
Description: partial 16S ribosomal RNA
Rfam family: Bacterial small subunit ribosomal RNA
Source: RNAcentral